AUACUUAGGGGAGAUACCAUGAUCACGAUGGUGGUUUUCCCAGGGUGAGGCUUAUCCAUUGCACUCCGGAUGUGCUGACUCUUGUGAUUUCCACAAAUGUGGGAAACUCAACUGCAUAAUUUGUGGUAGUGGGGACUCUCUUUGUGCUCGCCCCUG
This is a small nuclear RNA of Echinops telfairi (small Madagascar hedgehog), 156 nucleotides long. RefSeq annotates it as U1 spliceosomal RNA. Lineage: Eukaryota; Metazoa; Chordata; Mammalia; Afrosoricida; Tenrecidae. The transcript has a single exon. The record is from RefSeq and is a predicted model, not a curated record.